UCUCUCAUAGUAUAGCGGGCCAAGUACACACACCUGAUGUCCUGAAGACAAGGUCCAAGCAUUCCGUGUGAGAUCUGGGUUCGAUUCCCAGUGAGAGAG
Molecule: non-coding RNA, 99 nt
Organism: Pluteus cervinus
Lineage: Eukaryota; Fungi; Basidiomycota; Agaricomycetes; Agaricales; Pluteaceae
Source: the annotation of a GenBank genome assembly